GUGCUCGCUUCAGCAGCACAUGUACUAAAAUUGGAACGAUAAAGAGAAGAUUAGCGUGGCCCCUGCGCAAGGAUAACAUGCAAAUUCGUGAAGCAUUCCAUAUUUUU
RNAcentral lists this small nuclear RNA (107 nucleotides) under Tupaia belangeri chinensis (Chinese tree shrew). The record is from RNAcentral. Lineage: Eukaryota; Metazoa; Chordata; Mammalia; Scandentia; Tupaiidae.